GACGAACGCUGGCGGCGUGCUUAACACAUGCAAGUCGAACGCUGAAGCACCAGCUUGCUGGUGUGGAUGAGUGGCGAACGGGUGAGUAAUACGUGAGUAACCUGCCCUUGACUCUGGGAUAAGCCCGGGAAACUGGGUCUAAUACUGGAUGCUACAUGUCACCGCAUGGUGGUGUGUGGAAAGGGUUUACUGGUCUUGGAUGGGCUCACGGCCUAUCAGCUUGUUGGUGAGGUAAUGGCUCACCAAGGCGACGACGGGUAGCCGGCCUGAGAGGGUGACCGGCCACACUGGGACUGAGAAACGGCCCAGACUCCUACGGGAGGCAGCAGUGGGGAAUAUUGCACAAUGGGCGAAAGCCUGAUGCAGCGACGCCGCGGGAGGGAUGACGGCCUUCGGGUUGUAAACCUCUUUCAGCAGGGAAGAAGCCACAAGUGACGGUACCUGCAGAAGAAGCGCCGGCUAACUACGUG
RNAcentral lists this ribosomal RNA (470 nucleotides) under uncultured bacterium. RNAcentral's name for it is "partial 16S ribosomal RNA". It matches the Rfam family "Bacterial small subunit ribosomal RNA", at positions 28 to 507 of the family's 1533-position model. The record is from RNAcentral.